UUCUGUUGUUUAAUUUAAUUUCUUAUUUAGUACAAUAAUUGCAACAAGUUAUUUUUUUAUAUCGUAGAAAGAUAGAUUUCUUUAUUUAUGAAAACGUAAAUGCGAUUAUUGACAUGUAAAUUAACGGUUUUUUUCCUUCCCCAUAAUUGAACCAAUUGAAGUUGUAGCGGUUCGAUUCCUAAUUCCUAUACAUCGAUACGUUUAUUGCGAACGAAUCGUUAUAUUUAUUCCCCGUUCCUCAUAUCUUAUUCAGUAUGUCCCGUCUUUACCGCCGUUAUCGUGCAAUUUUAUCGCGUGCAACAUGAUUCGUAAAAAUAUCUCGCAUCAGGUCUGCUAAGCUUUACGAAGGAAGACACAAGGGAGCACACAAGGGAGUCGCAGUUUAUAUCUUCGGAAUGAGGUUAAGAUCAUACGUGACAACGAAUAGUUGCCGAUCGAGAUACGCUGGACAGAGAAAAAGAUGACAAAAGCAUCGGUGGAAACACACUGCGAUCAUUAUAUCCACGCCAACGCGAUUGGAAAUUAUCUGGCUGUCGAUACAAUCGCUUCAGGGUGGACUUGCUCGAAAGUCAUCGGUAUUCGAUAAGAGCCGAGCCCGUUUUUUACUGGGUCAGUGGAUGUGCCCGCCUCGACCGCGGAUCUAUUCCAACGACAGUGAUCUAUAUUCGCUUUUGCAGUAUUGAGAUCGCUAAAGAUAGCGAUGCGGGACAUCUAAAUUUUCAUUUCGCUGGACCAAAUUCCCUCUUCUUUGCGUCGGCGAAACGUCGCUCUCAUUGAGAUGCACUUUGCCAUGCACUUUCGGACCUAGGUUUCCAAGUGGUAAUUUGCGCUUAUGAUUUCGCGACAGAAAGAGAGAGAAAGAGAAAUCAAAAUUAGAAAUGGAAAUAUACCGGCAGUGGUCGACAUGUAUUUCCAGUGGAGCCUACAUA
This is a long non-coding RNA of Camponotus floridanus (Florida carpenter ant), 929 nucleotides long. RefSeq lists it as uncharacterized. Lineage: Eukaryota; Metazoa; Arthropoda; Insecta; Hymenoptera; Formicidae. The record is from RefSeq and is a predicted model, not a curated record. The transcript has 3 exons.